AGAGUUUGAUCAUGGCUCAGAACGAUCGCUGGCGGCGCGUUUUAAGCAUGCAAGUCGAGCGGCAAGGGCCUUCGGGCCCCUAGAGCGGCGGACGGGUGAGUAACACGUGGACAAUCUGCCCCCCGGCCCGGGAUAGCCCAGGGAAACCUGGAUUAAUACCGGAUGAGACGGGACCCGCGAUGGCGGGACCCGGGAAAGGCGCUGCGGCGCCGCCGGGGGAUGAGUCUGCGUCCCAUUAGCUGGACGGCGGGGUAACGGCCCACCGUGGCGACGAUGGGUAGCCGGCCUGAGAGGGUGGACGGCCACAUUGGAACUGAGACACGGUCCAGACUCCUACGGGAGGCAGCAGCUAAGAAUCUUCCGCAAUGGGCGAAAGCCUGACGGAGCGACGCCGCGUGAACGAAGAAGGCCGUGAGGUUGUAAAGUUCUUUUCGGGAGGGGGAACAACCGUGGCAGGGAAUGGCCGCGGGAUGACGUGAAUCCCGGAAUAAGCCCCGGCUAACUACGUGCCAGCAGCCGCGGUAACACGUAGGGGGCGAGCGUUGUUCGGAAUCAUUGGGCGUAAAGGGCGUGCAGGCGGUCGUGCAAGUCCGGCGUGAAAGACCCCGGCCCAACCGGGGGGACGCGCUGGAAACUGCAGGGCUUGAGUACAGGAGGGGAUGCCGGAAUUCCAGGUGUAGGGGUGAAAUCUGUAGAUAUCUGGAAGAACACCAAUGGCGAAGGCAGGCAUCUGGCCAUGUACUGACGCUGAGACGCGAAGGUGCGGGGAGCAAACAGGUUUAGAUACCCUGGUAGUCCGCACAGUAAACGAUGUGCACCAGGUGGCGGGGGGUCGACCCCCGGUACCGUAGCUAACGCAUUAAGUGCACCGCCUGGGGAGUAUGCUCGCAAGGGUGAAACUCAAAUGAAUUGACGG
Molecule: ribosomal RNA, 916 nt
Filed under: uncultured bacterium
Lineage: Bacteria
Description: bacterial SSU rRNA
Rfam family: Bacterial small subunit ribosomal RNA
Source: RNAcentral